AGUGAACGCUGGCGAUAGGCCUAACACAUGCAAGUCGAACGGCAGCACAGUAAGAGCUUGCUCUUACGGGUGGCGAGUGGCGGACGGGUGAGGAAUACAUCGGAAUCUACUUUUUCGUGGGGGAUAACGUAGGGAAACUUACGCUAAUACCGCAUACGACCUACGGGUGAAAGCAGGGGAUCUUCGGACCUUGCGCGAUUGAAUGAGCCGAUGUCGGAUUAGCUAGUUGGCGGGGUAAAGGCCCACCAAGGCGACGAUCCGUAGCUGGUCUGAGAGGAUGAUCAGCCACACUGUAACUGAGACACGGUCCAGACUCCUACGGGAGGCAGCAGUGGGGAAUAUUGGACAAUGGGCGCAAGCCUGAUCCAGCCAUACCGCGUGGGUGAAGAAGGCCUUCGGGUUGUAAAGCCCUUUUGUUGGGAAAGAAAAGCAGCAGGUUAAUACCCCGCUGUUCUGACGGUACCCAAAGAAUAAGCACCGGCUAACUUCGUG
RNAcentral lists this ribosomal RNA (492 nucleotides) under uncultured bacterium. RNAcentral describes it as "partial 16S ribosomal RNA". It matches the Rfam family "Bacterial small subunit ribosomal RNA", at positions 29 to 507 of the family's 1533-position model. The record is from RNAcentral.